AAACGCUUGAAGUCAGUCGCGUCUUCCAGGGAUCAAGUUACCUAUGGGUGACCGCACUUUCUGGUCGACGGGUCAGCAUCAAUUUUGAUCGUUGGAUAAGGGCCUCGGGAAUGUGGCAUCUUCGGAUGUGUUAUAG
Molecule: ribosomal RNA, 136 nt
Filed under: Clavariaceae sp.
Lineage: Eukaryota; Fungi; Basidiomycota; Agaricomycetes; Agaricales; Clavariaceae
Description: partial large subunit ribosomal RNA
Source: RNAcentral